CCUGGCAGCAGCGGCCAAGCUGGCAGCGGCACCGCCAAUACCGAGGGCGGGAGGGCGCCCGCAACCGCGAGGCCUCCAAGGGCCGCGGGCGGAACGGCGAUGGCGCCGAGCCCCUUCCCCCGAGAGGGCAAGCGGAGCAGCAUCCGCGGGCGUCGCCGCUAGAGCGCCUCGGCCACGGCCACGGCCACGGCCACGGCCACGUCCAGCAGCGGCAGCCGCACGGAGCCCGACUCCAAGGUGCGUGUUGGCCGCUCGCGCUUGUGGGAAGGAGCCGCCGUCCGCCUACCCAGAGCCGCCACAGGCCCUCGCGACAAGGUGGAGCAGAGCUCAGUGCUGUAGACUGCGCUCCCUCAGUCCCUGGGCCGGGCCUUCAUGCCAGCCUGGGCUCGCACAGCGCCCUGCGGGCCCUCUGAGCCGCCGCUCACCCACCCCCUACAGCCAGGUGCUCAGUUGGUCUGUGAAAUCCCGAAGCAGAAGUCCAUACUCCUCCAGGCAUUCAAGGUCUCUCAGCAGGUACAGAUUUUCUAGAUCCCAGAGUCGUCAUUCUAGCAUUUCUCCUAGCACACUGACUCUGAAGAGUAGCCUGGCCGUCCAGUUGAACAAGAAUGAAAAAGCAAGAGCUGCAGAGACAGCUGCAGAAGCUGCAGAACCCUCUAGCACGUCUACACCAACCAAGGGGACACAGAAACUGGAGCCAGCACAUCGCAAACCAACCAUGUGAAGGACGUGAAGAAAUAAACUGAGCGUGCCCCUUCUCCCUCAAGUAGUGGAACUUUCAAUACAAAAUGACAAGGCGAAAACAAAGCCACCUCUUCAAGUUACAAAGGUAGACAAUAAUUUGAUUGUAGAUAAAGCCACCCAGAUAACAGCUGUCGUUGGGAAGGAGAGGAAAUCUGCUGCUACAAAGGGUGAACCUUUCAGUAUCUCUCAAAAGAGAAAACCAAACCACUGAAACCAAGCGUGGGAGCCAGGGAGAAGCAGCAACAUGUGACUUUAGUGACCUGUGUGCUACCACCCUUACCUUUGUCUCCCAUGCUACCUGAAUAUAAAGAGGGGGAUAGUUUAAGAGAAAAUAUUUCAGUAAAAGCGGUUUAAAAAGAAGUAGAAAAGAAACAGAUGUCUUCUUGCUGAUUUAGCCCUGCCCUCUCACCUGCCUCCCAAGCCGGAGGAGAGGAUCUUUCCAAGAGUCCAGAGGAAAAGAAAACAGCAGCACAGUUGCAUAGUAUAUGAAGGCCUAAAGUAUGUCGGCCUCGCUAUGGUGAAUUAAAAGAAAAAGAUAUUGACUGAGGAAAAGGCUGUGUGGACAAAUUUUAUAUCGUCAGAAUUAUUAGAAAAGGUCCUUAUGGAUAAGUUUACAAGGUUGGGGAGAAGACAUUGGAGACACGGUUGCCUUAAAAAAAAAAAAGUAAGGUCUGGAUAAUAAAAAGGAAGGCAUUCCAAUUUUAGCAAUUUGAGAAAUUAAAAUUCUCCCAUAGGUUACCCAUCAGAGUAUUAUCAAUAAGAACGAAAUAGUGACUGAUAAAGAAGAUGCUUUGAAUUUUAAAGACAGAGGUACAUUUUAUCUGGUGCACAUAUCUUCUUUCAUGAGGUGUUUGAACACAACUUUUGCUCAUUCUAAUUAGGUUGUUAGAGUUUUCAUUAUUGAGUUGUAACAGUUCUAAUGCCCGUGAGUCUGCAUCUGUGGUACUGGAGAUGGAACCCAGGGCCUUUGCGUUAAUCUGUAUCCCCAGCCCUUUUUAUUUUUUAUUUUUGAGAUAGGGUCUCACUAAUUUGGUAAGUGGCCACGUCUGGGUACUUCUGGGUUCUGUCUUGUGAUCCUUCCGCUAGGGACCUGAAAUUUCAAUUCUGCAGACUAGAAUUGCCCUUUCUUUUCCCAUCCUCAAGGGAGCAGUGUGAGGGGGGCCUUUGGCGACCAUCUUGGCAGUUGGCGACAGUUGGUGUGGGCGGGGCCGCUGUGGUGAGCGGGACCUUUGCGGUGGGCGGGACCGCGGCCUCGCGGGCCUCGCCAUGGUAACCACAGCUCUGUCACUGCCCCGCCUCACAGGCUUCCAGACUGUCCUCGCCUUAGGUGAAGGUGUUUGACCCCCGUCCUCGGAAGUAGCCUGACAGCCUCUUAGCUGUCUCUCAGCCGCCGCCACGUUCAGCCGCCUCUCAGCAGCCGCCUUUGCCAACGCAACCAAGCAAGUGGAGGAGGCCCAAUACCAAUACUUCAGAAGAUUCUUUUAACCAGUAUGAAGAACAAGUAAGCAGGGCCAGGGAUUUAGCUCACUGCUUCCACCACCUGUCUCACAAGCACAAGGUCCGGAGUUCGAUCUUGGGUACCAAGAAAACAAACAAAACAAAACAAAACAAAACAAAACAGGUAAGCAAAUGAAAGAAUAAAUAUACUAGUUUCUUAAAUGCCA
Molecule: long non-coding RNA, 2405 nt
Filed under: Heterocephalus glaber (naked mole-rat)
Lineage: Eukaryota; Metazoa; Chordata; Mammalia; Rodentia; Bathyergidae
Description: lncRNA (ENSHGLG00100034265.1)
Source: RNAcentral